RNAcentral lists this small RNA (124 nucleotides) under Marmota monax (woodchuck). The record is from RNAcentral. Lineage: Eukaryota; Metazoa; Chordata; Mammalia; Rodentia; Sciuridae.
GCUGGGCAUGGUGGCACAUGCCUGUAAUCCCAACAGCUUGGAGGCUGAGGCAAGAGGAUAGCAAGUUCAAAACCAGCCUCAGCAAAAGCAAGGCAUUAAGCAACUCAGUGAUACUCUGUCUCUA